GGCAAGAAAGGAAUAAGAUAUCCGUCACUUGUUUACAAAUAGGCCACACAUGUGUCAUAGUUUGUUUUUAUCGGUUCAAAUUUUGGAAUCAUACUCAAAAUUGGGAAUUUGAAAUUAAAAUUUUGGACAUUUCACCUUCUUUCGUAUAGUAAAUUGAAUCCUGGUGCAGUGAAGCUGUUCUAUAUAAUUUCUGACCAUAUAUUUUGUCUUGGACUUGUGCACUUUCUGAUUGUUCACACGCCUUUAAUAUGUUCUUUGACUUAGUUUCAAGGCUGGCCUGGAAAUAUGCUUGUUUUUUCGGUCUGCAAUUCCAUGUAAUAUUUGAUGCCCAGUAUGUGUUUGAUGAAAUGCGUGUUGUUGAUUCUAUUUUAUGAUGUUCUUUGAAAAGGAAGGACUUUAUCUACUGGGUUUUCUUAUCUCUUGUGACCUAAUACAUAUUCUAUUGCCAGGCCUCAUCAAGUUUAGACUUUCCUAAACCUGUAAUACAGAGAGUUUGGUUCCGUAAUGUUAUGUCUCUUUACUCAAUUAUGAGAACUUGUUUCUUGAGAUGCAAGAUGAUGUGUAUCAAAAGAGAAAAAAAGAAGAAGAUGGAUUUCAAAUUUUCAAUAGAUCUUUUAAUUACAUGCAAGUUUCUAAUAAUGGUCUUGUGUAUCCCUAUUCCUUAGGGAAGCUCUUACUUCUGGAAUGAUGAUCUUGGGAAGAGGAGACUCUGGAAAGCACUGAAACAAUAGUAUGCAGUGUAUUUGCCACCAUCCUUGACUUGAUUUGCCCCCUUCUUGGCAGAGGCCUUCUGCUCCUGAAGCUUCCACCAAUUGCUGCUGCAGCCGCACUUCUCAUCAUCUUAUCCAUGGGGAAUGCUAAAAACAAAAAUCUCUUUUGUGUCUUGUUUUUCUUUUUGUGGAUUAUAUUUUCUGAUUCACUUGCUUUAUCUGCUUGAAAGCACUCACGAGGAGUAUUUAUAGCUCAUCGUGGAUCUAUAGAAUACCAUGGUUGGUUAUGGGGAAGAAAGAUCUUGAAUCCGCCUUCUUUCCUUCUUCCACAUGUGGUGGAGGUUGGGAAGCAUGCCAGCCUGGGUUGUCUGUCAGUAAAAAGAUUCCAUUUUUCUUUUUGUUCGGGUAGAGACAAGACAACCAACGGAGUGGGUUUGAUUCGAGGAUAUUAUCUUGCAAUCCUUGCAGCAUGAUUGAUAUUAAACAAAUGUCUGGUCCAAUCCCACGUGCACUACUUGAAAGACCCUAACCAUACAAUCUAAUGUCUGGUAACAGAGCUGCGUGCAGGAAACAUGUUUUGGGGGAUCUCAAAUCGUUGUACGUUCUUCCCUGCAACCCAUAGCCAUCAUGUUCCCAUUGUACUCACAUAAUUUACGAGUUCUUUACAAUAUGAAUUGCAGUAUGAUUUACAUGGAUUCUUUGUAGGGUAUCAUGAUAUUAUUUCUUUAGCUUUUCGCCAUAUAGAGUUGUUUCUGUAUUAAGUUAUUCCUUAAAAAGUUGCUUUCUUUAUCAAUUUCUCCUUGCAUUUUAUUAAUUUAUCUGCCUGAGUUACCCAAAUGGACUGUUAUUUGGAAUGAGAGGAACACGAGAUCCUUUGAUAAAAAUGAAAGUACGUUGUUUAGAGUGAA
Molecule: long non-coding RNA, 1618 nt
Organism: Impatiens glandulifera
Lineage: Eukaryota; Viridiplantae; Streptophyta; Magnoliopsida; Ericales; Balsaminaceae
Exons: 2
Source: RefSeq, a predicted model, not a curated record